RNAcentral lists this ribosomal RNA (300 nucleotides) under uncultured Synechococcus sp. RNAcentral describes it as "bacterial SSU rRNA". It matches the Rfam family "Bacterial small subunit ribosomal RNA", at positions 115 to 434 of the family's 1533-position model. The record is from RNAcentral. Lineage: Bacteria; Bacillati; Cyanobacteriota; Cyanophyceae; Synechococcales; Synechococcaceae.
GCGUGGGAAUCUGCCCUCAGGAGGGGGAUAACGGCCGGAAACGGCCGCUAAUACCCAUAUGCCGAGAGGUGAAAUGAAUUUCGCCUGAGGAUGAGCCCGCGUCUGAUUAGCUAGUUGGUGAGGUAAGAGCUCACCAAGGCAUCGAUCAGUAGCUGGUCUGAGAGGAUGAUCAGCCACACUGGGACUGAGACACGGCCCAGACUCCUACGGGAGGCAGCAGUAGGGAAUCUUGCGCAAUGGGCGAAAGCCUGACGCAGCCAUGCCGCGUGAAUGAUGAAGGUCUUAGGAUUGUAAAAUUCU